RNAcentral lists this ribosomal RNA (276 nucleotides) under uncultured prokaryote. Its description in RNAcentral is "partial 16S ribosomal RNA". It matches the Rfam family "Bacterial small subunit ribosomal RNA", at positions 524 to 800 of the family's 1533-position model. The record is from RNAcentral.
UACGUAGGGGCAAGCGUUGUCCGGAAUUACUGGGCGUAAAGGGUGCGUAGGCGGCCUAAUAAGUCAGAUGUGAAAUACCAGGGCUCAACCUUGGGGGUGCAUUUGAAACUGUUGGGCUUGAGUGCAGGAGAGGAAAGUGGAAUUCCUAGUGUAGCGGUGAAAUGCGUAGAGAUUAGGAGGAACACCAGUGGCGAAGGCGACUUUCUGGACUGUAACUGACGCUGAGGCACGAAAGCGUGGGUAGCGAACAGGAUUAGAUACCCUGGUAGUCCCUGA